This 8305-nucleotide long non-coding RNA is filed under the name Capsicum annuum. RNAcentral describes it as "long non-coding RNA (CANN_LNC008229)". Lineage: Eukaryota; Viridiplantae; Streptophyta; Magnoliopsida; Solanales; Solanaceae. The record is from RNAcentral.
AUAAAAUCAACAUAAUAACAAUAAUCCAGGACUAAUCAUUACUAAUGCGGAAGUCAAACAAACUACUUACAAAAAUCCCCAAGAACCGAAAGUCAUCGUACAAGAUCUACUAACAAAGAUUACGUCUAAAGAGAUAUUCAAAAAUAAAGUAAAUAAAGAACGUUUCAUUGUCUGAAAGAUAGACAAAAACAAUAAGAUGAUCCAUGGCAGCCUGGAGAUGGAGUGCUCACCCUUGGAUCAAGAUCUGCUAUCAAAUUCUAGAGUUGAGGUCAUGUCUGAGCCUCUAGAACACUUUCUACACUCAACAAAAGAAGAGUACAGGGUAGUAUCAGUACAAACCACUAUGUACUGGUAGGUAUCAUAGGCCAACACAAUUUAAUAAAAUGUUCAUAAUAUAAAUCAAAUAAAAAGUAGACAGGAAUCAUCACAUAACAACUUUUUAAUGAAUCAAUUAUACAACAACAGGAGGCCAAACAAUACUCACAAAUAAGUCACAUAACCAUCAAGAUAUCAAUCAUACUAUAACAUCCAUAAAUCAACACAAUAUGUACAUAUAUGCAAUGGGACUUAUUUUUACCCAAAUAGUCAUGACCUGCAGGGAACAAUCUAUGUUCAUGUACCAUACCGGCGUGGUACUCGAUCCAACAUAUACAUAUCCGUACCAGCGUAGUACCCGAUCCAACAUAUACAUAUUCAUACCGGCGUGGUACCCAAUCAAACAUAAACAAUUAUUAUCAAUAUAAAAUUUACAUAACCUCACAGCAUACAUCAUAAUGUACCAAGUUUACAAGUACACUUAAAGUCAUAAGACAAUUCCAUCAAGUAAAUUUUCAAUAAUCAUUUAUACACGCAUUAACAAUCAAAACAUCAGCAACUUCAAGCAUGUAUGAAUACCAUUCAACAAGUAUCCAAUUUAGGAGCAUACACAUAAUUAAGUCGAGUAUAAACUUCAAUUAAACCAUAACCUACCUCAAUGGAAGAAACCAAAUGCAAGCUACUUUGCAAGGGCCUUGCCCUUCCGUAAAACUUCUGAUGGUCAAAAUCUGUUUGGAUAUAUAAUCUCCAUAAGAGUAUGAACUAGUACAUUAGAUUUCAACUAAAAAGAAUCAUCUUUCUACCUCCAAAUCAAGAAUUGUUACCCUAAGAUUUCUAGACCAAAAAUCCUAAAUGUCACAUUAUAUCCGAUAAUCACUCAGUAAUUUUUGGGACCAAAACUGAAAAGAAAAGAACAAGUGUUGUUACUACUGGACGUUAUGCAUGAAAAGAAAACUGCAACUUACAAAUUGCAUAAAAAAUAAUAGUUUUUGGAACUUUUUAUAUCAUUAUUAUCUAAUAAUUAACAAUCAUUACUUUACCACUAAUUUGUACUAUCAAUGAUUAACUAAUCAUCACUACUAUAAGUAUUACUUGCUUAACAGAAAACAAUUUAUACCCAAAUCUUUCCUUUUUAUGAUCUUCACUAUACUGUGACUGUAUACCCAGUACACCCUAUAACCGUCAUAAGCGGAUGAUUAACUAAUCAUUACUUUAUUAUAUAUUUACUAAUUAAACCAAAUUCUUAAUAUACUAGGAAGUUAACAUGAAAGAUGUCGGAAUUCCUUGAAGUGGUAAUGGAAACUAGGGUUUGCUAACCAUCGUUCACCUCUUCUUGUGACUAUUUUCUUCUAUUUUUAUUAUAUAAGGUAAAGCCUUCCCACUUAAAUUAAUUCUUGUACUAGCCAUAUAAGAAAAUAAAUUUAAACUUUGGCCCAUUAAAUCACUAUUAAAUUCAUUAUUUAAAACACCCAAGACUUUGAAUAGAUUAUCAAAAUUUAUUGGGACCUCGAGAAAAUAAUUCAAAUAAUGACUUAAAUCACUUUCUUACAUCUCAAAAAUUGAUACUACUCAUCUUGUGGAUCAUAAAUUCACGUACAUAAAUUAGGGGGAGAGAUAAAAUUUGGAAGAUGAGAAAAUUUUACAAACGACUGAAAGGGUUGUUACAUCAGAUACCAAUUAAACAAUCGUUCAUGCCCGAACGAUAACAAGUGACAAGGAGGGGAAACAGGAAAUUACAUGAAUCAGCAAAAAGAUGCGGAUACUUGCUACGCAUGUCUGCUUUGGUCUCCCUAGUGGUUUCCUCAAGUUACGAACAACCAAAUACCUAGCCGAGUCUAUGCGUACCCCCACCGCCUCAGAUUCGAAAGGUUUAAUCAGCAUGCAUCAACACAAGGCAUAUUCUUCACCUAUAUAUAUGCAACCGUCCUAUACCGGCUGAUAAAUAUAGGUGCAUACUGGUGAUAAAUGAUGCCCAUGCAGGAAUGAAUGCAAAGUACACAAUCAAUAUCACAACUCAUCAUAACUAUCCUCAUCAGGACCAUCAUCAUCGUAAUCAACCUCCGGCCUUACCGGAUAUUAAUGCAUCAUCAAUAGUAUCCUCCGGCCUUGUCGGAUGUCAACAUAUCAUCAUAAUAGUGUCCUCCAGCCUUGCCGGAUAUCAACAUAUCAUCAUAAUAGUCAUUACCCUAUAACAUAUACUAAAUUACUCAUAAAAAUAGUUAUAUCACCAUAGAAUAUCUAUCUAGUCAAUACUUCUAACUACUCAUUAUUAGCUAACGAACACUUAUUAUAAUAGAAUCACUAGUUCGCUAGUCAUCAAAUAACCUCUAGUUAUUAGCCUAAACAUUAUCCUUCACAUAGUCCUUAUUAAUGGGAUAGAAACUAACCACUCUUUAUUUUAAUAACCAACAUCUAACAUCUAGUAAAAGUUCAUCACUAGACCAAAACCGCCAUUUAUCUACCAUUCAUUAUUAUCAACUAAUCAUCCAAUAUCCGUUAAUCAUUACUAGACAACACAUUACUACUUGUCACCUAACCACAUUUUUUUUAACUACCACUAUUCUUAUCUAACUAUCGUUUACCAACUAAUCCUUGCUUAACUAUUCAUUAGUUAACCAUUUAGCAACUAUUCAAAGUUAUUAACUAGUCACCUCUUAUUAACAACAUCUCUUAUUAUCUAACCUCAUUAAUACACAACUCCUCGUUUAUCGAUUGAUCUACAUUACGAACUUAGUCAUCAAUACCAACUAAUCUUUACCUAUGCUAGACCCGACCUCACCACAAGUCACAUAUUAACCAUCGCUUGCUACCAUGGUUAAACUAAGGAAGAUUCAUUAACUAAUACAUUAGAUUCCUAGCCUUCACCAGUAUCCAAUCAAUAAAGUCAUACGCAACAUACCUCAUCUUUCUCUAUCCUAUACUGGAGAGAUGUGUAUACAAAUAUAUUUAUAUUCAUAAACUAUAAUCGUAUCCUUUACACUUAUAAACAUACCUCAAAUAUUCAAUUAUUAUCAUAACACAAUACUUGGCCCAAUAAUUUAUCCGAAAUAGUCACAACAUCAUAAUCACGGCCUAGGCCCAUAUACAUAUUCAAAACUCAUAUCAAUAAUCAUAUUUAUACGCUGUAGCAUAUCUCUAAUCAUCUCACAUAUAGGAGGUACCUCCCAUAUUAGAGGCAUAAUAUAGAUAGAUAUAUAAUCGUCUAUAGGAUAUCUUAUAUCGAUAGGUCAUGCAUAAUGACUAUGAGGAAUAUCACCACUCUAGGCUAAUUUGCAUAUCUAAGAGAAAAUAACAUCUCUAUAGGCCACAUAAAGUAUCUGGGAGGAAUAUCAGCUCUAAAUGCCCAAUAUCACUUCCAUAAAAAGUAUCAUAACUAUAAUUCAAAACCACAACCCAAGAAUAUCAAUACAUGUUAUCAAGUUAUGAAGAAACCUUAUUCUAAGGUUUACUAGCCUCAUCAAUGUCUAACAUCUGAAACUAAGUCCACAAGACUUAACAUAAUAUAUGUUUAGGCCUAAGUGGGCCAGAUAAUCCUACUUCUAAUCCUCAAUUUUCAUAAUUAGGCAUACUAUGCCCUAAACCAGGUUAAGGUAUCUAGUUUAUCUUCUAGAUGUCAAGUAAGUCAUAUUCAAGCCUAAGAUAUCAAAUUCAACUAGAAAUAAGGGUACUCAAGUCAAUUGUACCCAACUUACAAUUUCAAGACUACCACACUAGCCCAAUAAGGCUAAAUAUACAAAUCAUGCUUCAAGUACUAAAACCACAUCCCAAACAUAGGUUUACAUCAUAAACACGCUACAACUAAUCUAAACUAGAGAGAGAAAGCAAUAGGAUUCAAAAAGGGGUACAAACAUGCCAUUUUACGGGUCCCAAGCCCACAUCUAAACUCCAAACAAUAACAAUUGAGGCCAAGUCAUCCUACUUAUAAUCAAGCCUAACAUCCACAUCCUUGCACAACAUAUAUCACACAUUAUCUAUGAAGAAAAAAAGAUAGAAGCCUACCAGAACCCACACUUAGAAAACUUUGCAUCAAGCUUUUUCUCUUCUAACAAACCCAAAAAAAUCGUUAAGUGAUUCUCAUAUUCCUUUUUACUCUUAAAAUAAAUCAGAAUAUCAUCAAUAAUGACAAUCACGAAAUAAUUCAAAUAGGUUUUAAAUAUCCCAUUGAUCAAACUCACCAAAAAUAGUUGUGGAUUAGUUAGUCUAUAAGAUAUCACAAGAAACUCAUAGUGCCCAUACCGGGUUUGAAAAACAGUCUUAGGAAUAUCGUCAGGCCGAAUCUUUAGCUGAUGAUACCAGAGAUCAAAUCAAUCUUAGAAAAUAUGGAUGGACUCAGCAACUGGUCAAAUAAAUCAUCGAUACGGGCUAAAGGAUACUUAUCACGAAAUGUAACUUAUCUAAUUGCCUAUAGUCUAUACACAUAUGAAGACUACCAUCCUUACUCUUCACAAAUAAGACAAUAGCACCCCAUCGAGAGGCACUCGAAUGGAUAAAAUCCUUACUCAACAAAUUCUGCAACUAAGCCUUUAGCUCCCUUAACUCAGCUGGAGUCAUCCUAUAGGGAGGAAUAGAAAUAAGACAAGUACCUGGCUCUAGAUCAAUACAGAAAUCAAUGUCAUAGCUUGGUGGCAUACCAGGCAAAUCUUUAGGAAAAACCUCUUGGAACUCACACACAAAAGAAACUAACUCAAUAGAUGGCACCUCUGUGGAAGUGUCCUAAAGAAAAGCUAGAAGGCCAAAAAACCUCUCCCAGUUAACCUUUUUGCACGCAAAAAGGAAAUAAGUUUCAUUGGACCAAGACUAUAAUUACCCUCAUAUUCAAAUCUAUUUAUUUUAGACAUAGCUAAAGUCACUGUCUCAGCAUGACAAUCUAAUAUAGCAUGAUAUGGAGACAACCAACUCAUACCCAGAAUUAUUUUAAAAUCUACCAUGAUAGAAUAACUAAAUCUGCCAAAGUUUGAUACCCCAUAAAUAUAAUAGAAAAAGAAUGAUAAACUCUAUCAACAACAACAAAAUCACUAAUAGGAGUAGACACGUGAAUCGAAAAGUCAAGCAAAUCACACACCAUGUCUAAACCCAUAGCAAAAUUGACAGACACAUAUGAGAAAGAAAAACCAAGAUCAAAUAAUAUAGUGGCCAUCCGAUCACAGACAAGAUUAGUACCUAUAAUGACAAUGUUUGAUACCUCUACCUUACACCUACCCAAAAAGGCAUUGAUAUGGGCCCUACCAUUGAUUUGAGCAUUAUUUUUAUCAAGUUGAGAACUACUUCAACGAGGUUGAUUACCAUUCUACCUACCUGAUGACCGCUACAACCACUCUAUGAAUGACCUCUACCACUACCACCACCUCUCCUACCUGCUAGAACUAGAACUCGAGAAGCAUAUUUUUGGCCAAACUAACCAUAAUGCCUCAAAUUAGGACAAAACCUCUUAAUGUGACUCACUCCACCGCACCCAUAACAUACUCAAACCCCUAGAAUAAGAACCACUGAAACUACCACCUUUGCAGGCAUUCUUUUCUACUGCCUAAGAUUAGUAAACUCAUCCCUUUUACUAUUUCUCAAAGUACGAGGCAUGUACUUUUCUUGAAAAAUUGAGUAAAACUAAGUCCAAGUCAUGGGAGACAAACCUGCAUCCCUACACUCUACAUAAGCUCUCCACCACAUCUUGGUAUCCCCUUAGAACUGAAAGGUAAAUAGUUAUACACCAAACCUCUCAACCAUACCCAUCUUUGAGAAUAAAAAUGAAAAAAAAGUCACAUACCAAUUGGAAUCACCAGAUACCAAUUGAAAUCAAGUAAUAGCAUGUAAGAAAGAAGAAUUUGAAUUUUCCUAGUGUCCUAUAGCCUUUCAAAGAAAAGUAUAGAAGUCUCCAUACUGUUCCACAAGACUCUACUAGACAUGUUCUUGUAAGACGAGAUCGAUGAACCUAGGUCUCUAAUACCAACUUUAUCACAACCCAAAUGGCCAUGAGUGGCACCGAUACUAAUCUUUCUGUGGGAGAACCAUCUAAAUUGAACCAUUACCCAGUCACUUAAUCAAUAUUAAGAUGAUGUUAUUAUAAAAUAAAUAUAAUAACAAUAAUCCAAGACUAAUCAUUAUUAAUGUGGGAGUCAAACAAAUUACUUACUAAAAUUUCCAAGCCCCAAAACUCAUCGUACAAGAACUACUAACAAAGAUUGCAUCUAAAGAGAUAUUCAAAAAUAAAGUAGAUAAAGCAUUUUUCAUUUCCCGAAAGAUGGACAAGAAUAAAUAAGAUGACCCAUGGUAGCCUGAAGAAGGAGUUCUCACCCUAGGGUCAAUAUGCUAUCAAACUCUAGAGUUAAGGUCAUGUCUAAGCCUCUAGAAUAUUUUUUGCACUCAACAAAAGAAGAGUACAGGGUAGUAUCAGUACAAACCACUAUGUACUAGUAGGUAUCAUAGGCCAACUCAAUUUAAUAACAUGCACACAACAUAAAUCAAAUAACAAGUAGACAAGCAUCGUCACAUAACAAAUAUUUAAUAAAUCAAUAAUACAAUAACAACAGGACAAACAGUGCUCACAAAUAAGUAAUAUAACCAUCAAGAGUAUCAAUCAUACUAUAAAUAUCCAUAAAUCAACACAAUAUAUACACAUGCUAUGAGAGUUGUUUUUGCCCAAAUAGUUAUGACCUGCAGGGAAUAAUCUAUGUUUAUGUACCAUACCGGCAUGGUACCCGAUCAAACAUAUACAUAUCCGUACCAGGAUGGUACCCUAUCCAACAUAUACAUAUCCAUACUGAUGUGGUACCCGAUCCAACAUAUACAUAUCUGUAUUGGCGUGGUACCCGAUCCAACAUAUACAUAUCCAUACCAGCAUGGUACCCAAUCCAAUAUAUACAUAUCUGUACUGGUGUGGCAUCCAAUCCAGCAUAUAUAUAUCCAUACCGGCGUGCUACCCGAUCCAACAUAUACAUAUUCGUACCGGCGUGGUACCCAAUCCAAUAUAUAUAUAUCCAUACCGGUGUGGUACCCGAUCUAAAAUAUAUAUUUUUAUACUGAUGUGGUACUCGAUCCAACAUAUACAUAUGCGUACCAGCGUGGUACCCGAUCCAACAUAAAUAAGUAUUAUUAUUAUCCAAUUUACACAACCUCACAUCAUAUAUCAUUAUGUACCAAGUUUACAAGUACACUUAAAGUCAUAAGACAAUUCCAUCACGUAAUUUUGCAAAAAUUAUUUAUACACGUAUUAACAAUCAAAACAUCAACAACUUCAAGCAUGUCCGAAUACCAAUCAACAAGUAUCCAAUUUAGGAGCAUACACAUAAUUAAGUCAAGUCUAAACUCCAAUUAAACCAUAACCUACCUCAAUUGAAAAAAUCAAAUGCAAGCUAUUUUGCAAGGGCCUUGCCCUUCCGUAAAGCUUUUGAUGGUCAAAAUCUAUUCGGAUGUAUAAUCUCCAUAAGAGUAUGAACUAGUACAUUAAAUUUCAACUAAACAGAAUCAUCAUUCUAACUCCAAAUCAAGAAUUGUUACCCUAAGAAUUAUAGACAAAAAAUCCUAAAUGUCACAUUAUAUCCAAUAAGCACUCAGUAAUUUUUGGGACCAAAACUGAAAAGAAAACAAAAAGUGUUGUUACUACUGGACAUUAUGCAUGAACAAGAAACUUCAACUUACAAAUUACAUAAAAAAUAAUAAUUUUUGGCUCUCUUUAUAUCAUUAUUAUCUAAUAAUUAACAAUCAUUACUUUACCACUAACUUGUACUAUCAAUGAUUAAUUAAUCAUGACUACUAUUGGUAUUACUUUCUUAAUAGAAAACAAUUUAAACCCAAAUCUUUAUUUUUUAUGAUCUUCACUGUACCGUGGCUAUAUACCCAAUACACCCUAUAACUAUCAUAAGCGAAUGAUUAACUAAUCAUUACUUCAUUAUAUAUUUACUAAUUAAACCAAAUUCUUAAUAUACUAGGAAGCUAACCUGAAAGAUGUUAGAAUUUCUUGAAGCGGUAAUGGAAACUAGGGUUCGCUAACCAUCAU